Molecule: ribosomal RNA, 507 nt
Filed under: uncultured Streptococcus sp.
Lineage: Bacteria; Bacillati; Bacillota; Bacilli; Lactobacillales; Streptococcaceae
Description: bacterial SSU rRNA
Rfam family: Bacterial small subunit ribosomal RNA
Source: RNAcentral
UGGCGGCGUGCCUAAUAACAUGCAAGUAGAACGCUGAAGGAGGAGCUUGCUCUUCUGGAUGAGUUGCGAACGGGUGAGUAACGCGUAGGUAACCUGCCUGGUAGCGGGGGAUAACUAUUGGGAAACGAUAGCUAAUACCGCAUAAUAGCAGUUGUUGCAUGACAGCUGUUUGAAAGGUGCAAAUUGCACCACUACCAGAUGGACCUGCGUUGUAUUAGCUAGUUGGUGGGGUAACGGCUCACCAAGGCGACGAUACAUAGCCGACCCUGAGAGGGUGAUCGGCCACACUGGGACUGAGACACGGCCCAGACUCCUACGGGAGGCAGCAGUAGGGAAUCUUCGGCAAUGGACGAAAGUCUGACCGAGCAACGCCGCGUGAGUGAAGAAGGUUUUCGGAUCGUAAAGCUCUGUUGUAAGAGAAGAACGAGUGUGAGAGUGGAAAGUUCACACUGUGACGGUAUCUUACCAGAAAGGGACGGCUAACUACGUGCCAGCAGCCGCGGUAAU